AAAAAAAAAGGCAGAUGACAUAGGGCCUUGUGGGCCUUGGUGAGGAGUUUGGGUUUUAUUCUCAAUGCAAAACAAAGCCACUGAAGCAUUCUCAGCCGUGAGGAUCUAGUAUGCUUUGAAAGAAAAAUAAAUAUUUUUUGACUUUAUGUGUUGUAUAAAUGGAAGGGGAAGAAGUAUGGAAAGAAUUUAAACUCUCAGUUGGAAGCAUAUUGCAGGGAAUAGAUUUCAAAAAGACAGAAUGAAAAGAAGAAAAAAUAUUUGAGAUAUACAAACACACAUACAUAUAUAUGUAUAUACAUUUGCGGUUGGGCAGAAGAUACACACUUCAGAUUAAUUCUCUUUUGGUCCUCUAAAUUUUAACAUUGAGAAACAUUACUGUUUCCUUAGUUCUUAAAAAUUUUCCAUAACAAUUUGCUUUGCUAACAAAAACCAAAGAAAUAAAAAUCCCUAUUAUCUAACUUCUGUUGCAAUUAUUAUGCCUAUUCCUUCAUUUUUCCUCUUAAUGAAAAGGGGAACAGCUGCUUACUAUCAUCCAUAUUCUUUUCAUAAACUUGAAGUCUGUUAUUAAGCAGUCCAUAAGUUUGUGAUGUCUAAUUCACAUGUCAUCAUCCAAAUUGACUACUUGAAGUCAAAAGCACUGAAAGGGACUUAGUCAUUUAAAUGACCAAAAUAACCUGGCAAUUAUCCAUUAUCAAACCUAAACAACGAACAUCAUAUUAUGAAAGAAAUUGAAUCAGUAAAAAAUACCAGCAAGCAACUUGAAUGCUUUUAAAAAUUUGACUACAAAAGUCAUUAUGUUGUGCACCAGUUGACAAGAGACGACACUUUCGUGUUCUUGCCAAACAAAAACGAAAACAAAAAAUUAUAGGAGCCUGUUCUAAGUACUGGGGUAACAACCCUAGACACUGUCUUUGGCUUCACAGAGAUAACAGGCCAGAUGGGCAUUGAGACAAGUGAACAGGCAGAUGGAAAACAGCAUGGUGAGUAAUACAGAUGGUGGGAAGAACAGGGUACUAUGGCAUCUGCUGUGGAAAGAAGAUAGAUCUAGGUGAUGGUUAAGUCUAAGACAAAGGAGGAGUAAAAUCAUCAAGGAAAGCAGGAGAGAGGGAAGGAAGUGGAAAGCAGACAAAAAAAAAAAAAAAACAACAGCAGCUGUAGAAGCCUGAGAAGAUGAGAGAGUCAAGUCCUUAGAGGGACUGAAAGCAGAGACAUAACGGCACAAAACGAGAUGGGAAAGUGACGGAGCAAUACAUGAGUCUGUAAUGAGUGGGAUUUAGGUGGGCAGCAGCACUUGGUUAUUUACAAGUUCAGGAUCCUGUUUAUAAAGCAAGGAAAGAUUGCUAUCUGUCUCCAGCACUAUGGCGAGAUAAUUAAUAGGAGCACUGCUGGAGACUGAUAGUGCAGGCGGCCGAUACCCAUGGCAGGAGCUCUCGUCAUCUAACUGCCACAGAAUUGUGAAGGUAAAGAAUCUGCAGAAAAGUGGAACAUUCAUUUUUACUAAAUAAAUGCAUUAUCUAUAGCACA
RNAcentral lists this long non-coding RNA (1524 nucleotides) under Homo sapiens (human). RNAcentral describes it as "HSALNT0325650". The record is from RNAcentral. Lineage: Eukaryota; Metazoa; Chordata; Mammalia; Primates; Hominidae.